This 253-nucleotide ribosomal RNA is filed under the name uncultured bacterium. Its description in RNAcentral is "partial 16S ribosomal RNA". It matches the Rfam family "Bacterial small subunit ribosomal RNA", at positions 524 to 776 of the family's 1533-position model. The record is from RNAcentral.
UACGGGGGGUGCAAGCGUUGUUCGGAAUUACUGGGCGUAAAGGGCGCGUAGGCGGCCUACUAAGUCGGACGUGAAAUCCCUCGGCUCAACCGAGGAACUGCGUCCGAUACUGGCAGGCUGGAAUCCGGGAGAGGGAUGUGGAAUUCCAGGUGUAGCGGUGAAAUGCGUAGAUAUCUGGAGGAACACCGGUGGCGAAGGCGGCAUCCUGGACCGGUAUUGACGCUGAGGCGCGAAAGCUAGGGGAGCAAACGGG